RNAcentral lists this long non-coding RNA (1453 nucleotides) under Triticum aestivum (bread wheat). RNAcentral's name for it is "long non-coding RNA (TAES_LNC012762)". The record is from RNAcentral. Lineage: Eukaryota; Viridiplantae; Streptophyta; Magnoliopsida; Poales; Poaceae.
AUCAUCAAUAUUCACUACUAACUGAAACAAUGAUGUAGGAAACAAAAAACAUUUUCUCUCACCUAAAAUGAAUUUAAUAAUGUAGCAAUAAUAUACAUGCAACAAGCCAACAACCACUCGGCAUGCAUUUCCCAGAGCUAGCAACACUAACAAAUAAGACGCUCAGUCAUACCUGUCCCAAGCUUCUGGCAGAGGAUUCCUUCCUUCACUGAAGGAAAUAUGCCGCUGCCAUCACCAAAAAACCGGGACAUGCACCUUUUUCCUCCUUAGUGAACAUCACCCAACCUCAUCCCAUUUGUCGACCUCCUUGAUCUGCACCUCUACCAGGGACGCAACUCCCCUUAUACCUGAUGAUGAGAGGAGGGUAGAAAACUAUGGGUGCACAAAGGAGACAAAGACAAAUCUUGGCAACAUAUAUCAAGCAGAACGAAACAAGCAAGCUCACAUUACUUCCAACUUAUGUUGUGUAACUGUGUCGUGAGAUUUAAUUAUUCAGAUUCAGGCCAAACACCGGUAGAGUGGUACUGGAAUGUUCUACUUGCGGAUGACCUUUAACAGUAAUAGAAUACAGAAUUUGAGCAAGUAGUUUAACGGGAUACCCUUACAAUUGCUAAGUAAGGUAAAUAAACACCGCCCUCAAAGUUUUAAAGAGUUUCAAGUGAACAAUUCGCUGAUUCUUUCAGUAUAAUACAGAUAUCUCUGAAGUUUACGCAAAGAAGAAUGGAUAAACAUGAUACUAACAGUACGCUAACCUGAUACAUGGUUCAAAAUGAUAAAGCCGCAUCUGCGUAUUAGUGUAAAUAUGACCUUCCAAGUAUCAGCAGCAAUUUCUAUAGGUGUCGUAUCACACUUUUAUGUACAGAAAUGACCAAGGGGAAAAUAUUUAUGGAGGAUGAUCACAAUGUGUCACAUAGUAGGAUGCGUCCAAAUAUCAUGUUCUGUGACCAACCGGAUAUCAAGAUUCUUAGGAUAAGAGAAUCAUAUCCCUUUCUAAAACGACUAUACCCAAAUCGAAAGACCUAACAAACAAUCUGAAAGAUUAGUACAUGUUGUUGUUUGCAUACCUUCAAAAUAUAUUCUUUGAGCUUCAAACUCAUGGAUUUAUCCAAUGCAUUGUAUGCAAUUUCGUAAAUAAUGAAAUGGCUUUCUGGACCUACAAUCUUGUCCUUUAGCAACACAGAGAUCUAACCAGGCACUAAAGAAUCAGUACACAAGCUAAUUGUCACUGAGCGCUUGACUGGCUUUAGCAAGCUUGCUAUUUAAUCCAAAUAUCAUCUCUAGAUAAUGUGGUUGUGGAAAUACAAUUAUGAUCUCACCUUCAUCAUUUCCUCGCCAGUAAAGGUCAUCAUUUGUUGAACCUUGCAAAUGCCUACACCAAAUCCGAUUCUCCAAUGUUAAACAAUCUGCAAGCAAAUCAUCAUAGUUUUCACAGAACUGACAUGGAAUUAUUUAC